GAUGAACGCUGGCGGCAUGCCUAAGACAUGCAAGUCGAACGAAGUGUGCCGAUGAAGUUUGGAGUGCUUGCACAAAGAACGGAAUCGGAAUUGCACUUAGUGGCAGACGGGUGAGUAACACGUGGGUAAUCUACCUCGAAGACUGGGAUAACAGCUAGAAAUGGUUGCUAAUACCGGAUAAUUCUUAAUCGGAUAACUGAUUAAGCUAAAAGGAGCUUCGGCUUCACUUCGAGAUGAGCUUGCGGUGUAUUAGCUAGUUGGUGGGGCAAUGGCCUACCAAGGCAACGAUGCAUAGCCGAGCUGAGAGGCUGAACGGCCACAUUGGGACUGAGACACGGCCCAGACUCCUACGGGAGGCAGCAGUGGGGGAAUAUUGCGCAAUGGGGGAAACCCUGACGCAGCAACGCCGCGUGCAGGAAGAAGGUCUUCGGGAUUGGUAAACUUCUAUCAGCAAGGAGAUGAUGACGGU
This 469-nucleotide ribosomal RNA is filed under the name uncultured bacterium. Its description in RNAcentral is "bacterial SSU rRNA". It matches the Rfam family "Bacterial small subunit ribosomal RNA", at positions 28 to 457 of the family's 1533-position model. The record is from RNAcentral.